AACUAGCCCAGAUGGAAACGGCAUCCUUUUAUGCCUCGUCUUUUUGGACGAGACAUAAAAGAUAUAGUGGACAGCUGGAAAUAGC
This 85-nucleotide small RNA is filed under the name Flavobacterium frigoris. RNAcentral's name for it is "Flavo-1 RNA". It matches the Rfam family "Flavo-1 RNA". Lineage: Bacteria; Pseudomonadati; Bacteroidota; Flavobacteriia; Flavobacteriales; Flavobacteriaceae. The record is from RNAcentral.